This 263-nucleotide unclassified non-coding RNA is filed under the name plant metagenome. Its description in RNAcentral is "partial contains small subunit ribosomal RNA, internal transcribed spacer 1, and 5.8S ribosomal RNA". The record is from RNAcentral.
UUUCCGUAGGUGAACCUGCGGAAGGAUCAUUAUUGUAUAACCGAGGUGCGAGGGCUGUCGCUGACCCGACAGGUCGUGCACGCCCGAGUGCCCUCACACACAUCCAUCUCACCCCUAUGUGCACCACCGCGUGGGUCCCCCUUUGGCUUGUUCGGAGGGGGGCUUACGUUUUCACACAAACUUUGUAUGUAGUGUAGAAUGUAUUUUUUGUUUUUGCGAUCACGCAAUCAAUACAACUUUCAACAACGGAUCUCUUGGCUCUC